UUAUGGAUUUAUCACAGUUAUUUUUUAGCAGUCUGCCUUACUAAGUACUAAAUUCUGAUGUUACUUGCAGACGUACACAGUGAAUAAUAUUAUCUACCUAUAUAUAUAUAUAUAAGAAUCUAACUUGAUUUUGGAGACGAAGGAAAACGGUACGAAGAAUUUCUCGAUCACAGAGGAAAGAGGAACGACAAUGUGGAGAAGAAAUAAAUUGUAUACUAAAGGGAUCAAAAUGUCGGCCGUGGUCGUCGUCGGACUGCUGGCGCUUUUGUUGGCUACUCAAUCGUCCAACUGUCAAGUCCACCAAUUUCCCGAGGCGACGGAGUGUCAAGUCGACCAAAUGCCCGCAGUGAUGAACAUGGACGAUAAAAUCGACCGAAUUCCCGAAGUUGCGAUUGCGAAUGGUCUGCCGGGACCGUGGAUAUCUGAGCUGUUUCACCGGGCGCUCUCCAAUUUCACAAUUCGGCACGUCGGCAGCGCUGCUUGUCGGACCCAAUCCGACAUGUACGACAGAAAUUUGCGGAACCACACCAGUUGGGCGGUCAAAAUGGCCGAGUCCUGGAAUCGAUAUCCGACAGGCAUACUAGCGGGCAACCAAUAUCACUUGGGAAUUUACGACGAAUGCGUGGACGUGCGUUAUCCUGUGAUGGGACAGUAUUGCUUGUCCGAAAUAAAUCUAAGCUCAUCGAUGGGCAGAGUUUACAGUUUCAACAGAACUGACAAUCUAGACGAUUUUGGGAAUAAUAAUGCCUGGAAAACAAUACUCGGAUGGGGCGAUUAUCCGGACAAAGUGAAACGAAACAAAUUGAAUUUAGGAAUAUGCAUUCCGGAUUCAUGUUCAGCGUUAGACCUGCAAACUUCAUUGCAAAACGAACUGGACAAAGUGUUCACGCCAGAAGAGAUCGAGGCAGUUGUCAAAGUGGAUCCGAUAAUGUGCACGGUCAAAGGAGACAUGUAUCCUUACAACACAUCGUACUACGUGACCAGGAUGUUUUUUUUAAUGCUUGUUUUGAUUUGUUGCGGCACAACGUUGUAUCAUUACACAAGAAUAUCAUACGAUAAAAAUAAAAAAAAAACAAUCAGUGAAGGUUUUGGUUCAUUUUGCGAUACUUUUUCAUUUAUUGAUUCAAGUAAAACCUUGUUAAAAUUCGAUAAAGACAGCGAUCUGAAUGCACUCUAUGGAUUUAAAGUGCUAAUGAUGAUGGCCAUUAUCAUGGGUCACAGAUUAUUUUGUAUACUUGGAAACCCCAUGAGUAACCCUAAACGCUUAGAAAGUGUUUAUCUCAAUGGACCCGAUCUUCUAUUGACUGCUUCGAACAUAAUCGAUCCAUUUUUUUUCAUAAGUGGUUUUCUCAUGUAUCUGAACAUCUCUCGAUCAUCUAUAAAAGCUGAAGCCGAAUUAAAAAAAAUCACAUCGCCAAUUAUCCAUCGAGUUUUCAGAAUGUUACCGGCGUAUUGCGCAAUGAUGGCUAUCACAGCACACAUCAUACCUCAUCAUGGCGACGGACCACUGUGGUCAAAGAUAAUGUGGGGAGAAUCCGAAAUUUGCAAAAAUUAUUGGUGGACCAAUUUAUUGUUCAUAACCAAUUUUCUCGACAGCAAAUACGGAUGCCUCGUAAUUAACUACUACGUAUCGUGUGACGUUCAGUUUUUCGUAGUUGGAGUGAUAAUUGUUUACGCUUACAUGAAAAAUGCCAAAUUUGGAAUCGGUUUAAUCGCUACAGUACUGGUUUUGUCAGUAUCCGUUCCGUUUCUAGUCACGUUUAUGACGAAAAGAAGCGGAAUAUAUCUAAUGUAUAUUGAAUAUUUAGAAAGCUUGAAAUUUUACAUAUCGGUAAAUGAGUCGUACAGAUUAAGUUACAUGCGAGCCACACCUUUCUUUGCUGGUUUAGCCACGAGCUUUAUCGUGGAAAAGUUGAAGGAAAAUAAAGUGACAUUUUCCUAUAUUACUGUUUUCGGUGGAACAUUCGUUGUUUCUGCGGUUUGUCUUUGUGCUCAGCUUUACGGUGUCAAAUUGUCCCCUCAACAUACACCUUAUUAUCCGUUGGAACAUGCUUUGUUCUCAGUCGUCAAACAUUGUACGUGGUCGGUAUGGGGCAUGUGGUGUUGCAUUUGCUUGUUCACGACUGGAUAUGGCCCCUUUACAUACGCAAUUAACAACAGACUUGUUGUGGUCUUGGGAAGACUCUCGUACUCAGUUUUUUUGGUCAACAUCACUGUCAUAUUGAUGUCUGUUGGUACAAUAAGAUCACCGAUUUACUUUUCAGUCAGUUACUUGAUGGAUACUUGGAUAUUCGAUGUAUUUAAGAGUUAUGUGAUAGCUUUAGCAUUAUAUUUGGUAGUUGAAGCGCCGUCCAAUAAAAUUAUUAAAAGAUGGAUUGGACAAGGGUAAAGAAGAAAAAUUACUUAAAUUCAAUAGCUUAUUAGUGAUUACUGAGUCAUCGAUAAAAAUAGAUUCGAUUAGUUUAUGGCAACUGCAGACUCUGGAAAGGCAAGCUGGGCUGCUGGUGCCGAAGGAUUUGUAUUUAUCACAUUAGCAUUAUAAGCCCAAGAGGAGGAAACAUACAGUAGCUCUAAAUUAUUAGGAUGAUAUCCCCCCCCCCCCCGAUUAUUAUUUAAAAUUCAACACUGUCCUAAGCUCAUAAUAUUAUAACUAAGGUUAGG
This 2661-nucleotide unclassified non-coding RNA is filed under the name Acyrthosiphon pisum (pea aphid). RNAcentral describes it as "nose resistant to fluoxetine protein 6, transcript variant X3". Lineage: Eukaryota; Metazoa; Arthropoda; Insecta; Hemiptera; Aphididae. The record is from RNAcentral.